AAACGCCAUAGAAGGUCUGGAGAAAGCUGGUUUUUCAUAUUUUACAUCAUGUGAGUUUAAUUCUUGCUUUUUCUUGAUAAUUUUUAUGUUUUUAUGACUUUUACAAUUAGGUCCACUUAUAGAAUUCAUUAGUUUUUGAUUUUAUGGGUGAAAUUGGAAGUUACCCUGGAUGGAUAAGGGAAUUUUAUGAUGAAUUAUUAUGAAAUUUAAGUUCUAAUUUUCAUAUUAAGGUGGUUUUAUUAAGUGAUUUUGAUAGAAAAUGAUAUUUAGGACCUAAUUGUGAAUUGAAGGUUGCUGUUGAAAUUCAGAAUAGAAAAGAUUUUGAAAUAGUUUAUAAUGAUAAAAUAAAGUGUUAAUUGAGAAAAAUUAGUUCAAUUGAUGGGUGAAUUGAGCAGGGACUAAAUUGUGAAAACUGUAAAUUUUGGGGUAAAAGUGUAAUUUCAAAAUUUGAACAGCAUAAAUUGUGAAGUGAAAUAGAAAUCAAAUAAAUGCUAAUGAGUAGAAAUAUUUUAUAUUAUAGAUCAAGAAUCCAAAGAAGAACGAGGAAAAGAAAAAGUUGCGGAAUAGUCCCUAAAUUUCAAUAUCUUCUACAAAUUAGUCCAGGUAAGUUCAUAUGGCAAAGUUCAAUGUUUUGAUAUGAAAAUCUUAUGAUUGUUAAAGUAUUUUAUUGUUGAUGAAUACUAUCAAUUUGCAUUAACUAAUAAAUAAUGUGUAACUAAAAGUACAAAUUAGUAGGAACAAUGGAUUUGAGUGCUUCUAUUCUGUGACCCUGAUGAAUUGACGAAAAAUAUGUGAUAAGUGCACCCGUUUAAGACCAUAGCUGGGCUAUGGCAUCGGUGCAAUGUGAUAAUGUGACUCCGUAUAAGACCAUAGCUGGGCUAUGGCAUCGGUAUAAUGUGAUAAUGUGAUUCCGUAUAAGACCAUGUCUGGGAUAUGGCUUCGGUAUGAUAUGUGAACCGUGUAAGACCAUGGCAAGGCUAUGGUUUCGGUAUGUGAUGCGUAACAAUGUGAAAGUCCAUAGUUUACUAUGGCAAUGUGAUAAUGAAGCACUCAAUUCCCUUAUUGUUCCCUAAUUUGACAAUGAAGUAAAUGAGAAAUGGGCCUAAGGGAGUUAAAUUGUGAGUAGCCAUAUGGAAAUCAUUCCAAUGAGUUAUUAAUGAAAUUGUGAUUUGGAGGAUGAAAUAGUUAAACUAAUAGAUAUAUGAUUGUGUACAAUAUUUGAUAUGAUUUGUGUUUUUAUGCCUAUGAGCUUACUAAGCUUCAAUAAGCUUACUUGUGUGUGUUUGAUAAUUUCUUUUGUAGAUUGAAUUAAAGAGAAGUUGGUAGAUCGGAUCAACACAACAGGGCACACUAUUCAGAUCAAUUCCGGUAGUUUUUGUUUUAUGUUUAAAGAUUUAUAUGGCAUGUAUAGAGUUUGAAUGAAUUGAAGUAAAGAUGUUAUAAACUAGUUAACAAUAUUUGUACUAAAACAGUUUUUGAUAAGUAGCAGUAGUUUGACUUUGAAAAAUCAC
This 1511-nucleotide long non-coding RNA is filed under the name Gossypium barbadense (sea-island cotton). RNAcentral describes it as "long non-coding RNA (GBAR_LNC010102)". Lineage: Eukaryota; Viridiplantae; Streptophyta; Magnoliopsida; Malvales; Malvaceae. The record is from RNAcentral.